RNAcentral lists this ribosomal RNA (253 nucleotides) under uncultured bacterium. Its description in RNAcentral is "partial 16S ribosomal RNA". It matches the Rfam family "Bacterial small subunit ribosomal RNA", at positions 524 to 776 of the family's 1533-position model. The record is from RNAcentral.
UACGUAGGGUCCGAGCGUUGUCCGGAAUUAUUGGGCGUAAAGAGCUCGUAGGCGGUUUGUCGCGUCUGCUGUGAAAUCCCGAGGCUCAACCUCGGGCCUGCAGUGGGUACGGGCAGACUGGAGUGCGGUAGGGGAGACUGGAAUUCCUGGUGUAGCGGUGAAAUGCGCAGAUAUCGGGAGGAACACCGGUGGCGAAGGCGGGUCUCUGGGCCGUAACUGACGCUGAGGAGCGAAAGCAUGGGGAGCGAACAGG